This 489-nucleotide ribosomal RNA is filed under the name uncultured bacterium. RNAcentral's name for it is "partial 16S ribosomal RNA". It matches the Rfam family "Bacterial small subunit ribosomal RNA", at positions 28 to 507 of the family's 1533-position model. The record is from RNAcentral.
GAUGAACGCUAGCGGGAGGCCUAACACAUGCAAGUCGAGCGGGAAUUGCUGGCUAGCUUGCUAACCAACAAUGAGAGCGGCGUACGGGUGAGUAGCAUGUGUGCCACCUGCCUUUAUCUUGGGGUCAGCCUAUUGAAAGGAAGAUUAAUACCCCAUAACAUAUUGAUUGGCAUCAGUUAAUAUUUAAAGCUCUGGCGGAUAGAGAUGGGCACGCGUAAGAUUAGCUAGUUGGUGAGGUAACGGCACACCAAGGCUGCGAUCUUUAGGGGGCCUGAGAGUGGGAUCCCCCACACUGGGACUGGGACACGGACCAGACUCCUACGGGAGGCAGCAGUGAGGAAUACUGGACAAUGGGAGAGAGCCUGAUCCAGCCAUCCCGCGUGAAGGACUAAGGAGCUAUGGUUGGUAAACUUCUUUUAGACAGGGAUAAACCUACUCGCGGGAGGGUAGCUGAAGGUACUGGAUGAAGAAGCACCGGCUAACUCCGUG